RNAcentral lists this ribosomal RNA (2085 nucleotides) under Staphylococcus aureus. RNAcentral describes it as "partial 23S ribosomal RNA". It matches the Rfam family "Bacterial large subunit ribosomal RNA", at positions 210 to 2295 of the family's 2925-position model. The record is from RNAcentral. Lineage: Bacteria; Bacillati; Bacillota; Bacilli; Caryophanales; Staphylococcaceae.
CCGGAGGAAGAGAAAGAAAAUUCGAUUCCCUUAGUAGCGGCGAGCGAAACGGGAAGAGCCCAAACCAACAAGCUUGCUUGUUGGGGUUGUAGGACACUCUAUACGGAGUUACAAAGGACGACAUUAGACGAAUCAUCUGGAAAGAUGAAUCAAAGAAGGUAAUAAUCCUGUAGUCGAAAAUGUUGUCUCUCUUGAGUGGAUCCUGAGUACGACGGAGCACGUGAAAUUCCGUCGGAAUCUGGGAGGACCAUCUCCUAAGGCUAAAUACUCUCUAGUGACCGAUAGUGAACCAGUACCGUGAGGGAAAGGUGAAAAGCACCCCGGAAGGGGAGUGAAAUAGAACCUGAAACCGUGUGCUUACAAGUAGUCAGAGCCCGUUAAUGGGUGAUGGCGUGCCUUUUGUAGAAUGAACCGGCGAGUUACGAUUUGAUGCAAGGUUAAGCAGUAAAUGUGGAGCCGUAGCGAAAGCGAGUCUGAAUAGGGCGUUUAGUAUUUGGUCGUAGACCCGAAACCAGGUGAUCUACCCUUGGUCAGGUUGAAGUUCAGGUAACACUGAAUGGAGGACCGAACCGACUUACGUUGAAAAGUGAGCGGAUGAACUGAGGGUAGCGGAGAAAUUCCAAUCGAACCUGGAGAUAGCUGGUUCUCUCCGAAAUAGCUUUAGGGCUAGCCUCAAGUGAUGAUUAUUGGAGGUAGAGCACUGUUUGGACGAGGGGCCCCUCUCGGGUUACCGAAUUCAGACAAACUCCGAAUGCCAAUUAAUUUAACUUGGGAGUCAGAACAUGGGUGAUAAGGUCCGUGUUCGAAAGGGAAACAGCCCAGACCACCAGCUAAGGUCCCAAAAUAUAUGUUAAGUGGAAAAGGAUGUGGCGUUGCCCAGACAACUAGGAUGUUGGCUUAGAAGCAGCCAUCAUUUAAAGAGUGCGUAAUAGCUCACUAGUCGAGUGACACUGCGCCGAAAAUGUACCGGGGCUAAACAUAUUACCGAAGCUGUGGAUUGUCCUUUGGACAAUGGUAGGAGAGCGUUCUAAGGGCGUUGAAGCAUGAUCGUAAGGACAUGUGGAGCGCUUAGAAGUGAGAAUGCCGGUGUGAGUAGCGAAAGACGGGUGAGAAUCCCGUCCACCGAUUGACUAAGGUUUCCAGAGGAAGGCUCGUCCGCUCUGGGUUAGUCGGGUCCUAAGCUGAGGCCGACAGGCGUAGGCGAUGGAUAACAGGUUGAUAUUCCUGUACCACCUAUAAUCGUUUUAAUCGAUGGGGGGACGCAGUAGGAUAGGCGAAGCGUGCGAUUGGAUUGCACGUCUAAGCAGUAAGGCUGAGUAUUAGGCAAAUCCGGUACUCGUUAAGGCUGAGCUGUGAUGGGGAGAAGACAUUGUGUCUUCGAGUCGUUGAUUUCACACUGCCGAGAAAAGCCUCUAGAUAGAAAAUAGGUGCCCGUACCGCAAACCGACACAGGUAGUCAAGAUGAGAAUUCUAAGGUGAGCGAGCGAACUCUCGUUAAGGAACUCGGCAAAAUGACCCCGUAACUUCGGGAGAAGGGGUGCUCUUUAGGGUUAACGCCCAGAAGAGCCGCAGUGAAUAGGCCCAAGCGACUGUUUAUCAAAAACACAGGUCUCUGCUAAACCGUAAGGUGAUGUAUAGGGGCUGACGCCUGCCCGGUGCUGGAAGGUUAAGAGGAGUGGUUAGCUUCUGCGAAGCUACGAAUCGAAGCCCCAGUAAACGGCGGCCGUAACUAUAACGGUCCUAAGGUAGCGAAAUUCCUUGUCGGGUAAGUUCCGACCCGCACGAAAGGCGUAACGAUUUGGGCACUGUCUCAACGAGAGACUCGGUGAAAUCAUAGUACCUGUGAAGAUGCAGGUUACCCGCGACAGGACGGAAAGACCCCGUGGAGCUUUACUGUAGCCUGAUAUUGAAAUUCGGCACAGCUUGUACAGGAUAGGUAGGAGCCUUUGAAACGUGAGCGCUAGCUUACGUGGAGGCGCUGGUGGGAUACUACCCUAGCUGUGUUGGCUUUCUAACCCGCACCACUUAUCGUGGUGGGAGACAGUGUCAGGCGGGCAGUUUGACUGGGGCGGUCGCCUCCUAAAA